This 1409-nucleotide long non-coding RNA is filed under the name Lepisosteus oculatus (spotted gar). RNAcentral's name for it is "lncRNA (ENSLOCG00000022732.1)". The record is from RNAcentral. Lineage: Eukaryota; Metazoa; Chordata; Actinopteri; Semionotiformes; Lepisosteidae.
UGUCGUGUCAUGUCACUAGGUUGAAAGAUGAGCUGGAAUGGAAGUCAAUGAGGAGCAGAGCUGGCUCUUGUGAGCCUCUCCAUUCCGGCAGUCCUCUACUGUGGACGUGACUUAUUGUCGAAUCACACUGGAGCCAACGUACUCAGGUUUAACCAAGACAAGCUCCUCCAGCAUUGAGUUGAUGGUCUCUGGUUUACAAACCCAUCUCGCUGACUCGGCACUUGAGGCCUAACUGGAAAAUACUAACCAAGUCGGAACCGAAGGUGGUCCAACUCCACAAAGGUGCUGCACCCACUGCUCUGAGCCCAAAGUCUUAUCGCUGAGAGGGAUGAGUCCUUGGAACAAACAGGGAACAGCUAGGGUGGAGUCUAGGGGUGUAACUGAAUCGUGGGGCUCUCCUACUGGACUGGAAGCUGUGAAGAUGUGACCAGUCUUACAACAAACAGCCAAAGGAAUCAUGAAUGACUCAGUGUCUUCCUGCAGGCAGGAGUGACUUCCUGUCGGUGGCCCAUGUGAGCUGUGGUAAUCUUGAGGUGCUGUCGCCCCUGGAGGUGACACAGACCCAUGUGAGGGUGUCCAUCGCCGGCCUGUCCCUGUGGGGCCUUGUGAAGAGCCUGUGGGACUCCAGCAUCCUGGGACAGGUGCUGCUGUUCCUGCAGCCAGGGGAUGGCAUGGACCUGCUACCCAAGUUGAACGUGUUUGUGCUCCCUGGGAACGUACUUCUCAGCCAGCAGUGUCAUCCUGUCCUCUCCUCUCCUCCACAGGUCACCGAGCAGCAGGACUGCAGCAGCACCCUCAUUCAGACGAGCUCAACCUGUAAACUGACACCGAAAGCGACGUACAGAGUGUCCAGCAGCAGCAAGAAGACUAAGAUAAUCCAGCCUGAGGUAAUGGUUCGCCUGUGACACAGACAGAGAUCACUGGCCUUUAUGACCCAAACUGUUGAGAGAGCAUGAGGGAGAGACAGAAAGAUCUAGAGAGAGAGAAGCAGGAAAGACUCGGGUCAUGAAAGGGUGAUCUGAGUAUCAUCAGUGUCAUCGAAGCAAUGAAACAGGUGGACCCAUCCAGCAGAUACACAGAGAAAGGAAGGGGCCCGAGUUCUGACACGUGAAGAACACCAGGGGGGGAGAAGGCCAGAGCCUCACCAGGACACUUGGAAAGAGCAGUUCAAGGGACAAGAAGAGAACCAGCCAAGAGCAGCACCUGAAAUACCCAGGACAGGAAGAGGAUGUGGCCAGUCAUGUCAGAGGUCAAGGAGAAUUGGGAUAGUGGAGAGAGAAGCAGAAAGCAGAGUCACAGAGUCUGUAGAGGGAGUCCAGCUGACUUCAUGCUCAAAAAGGAUUUGCCUGUGUGACAGACUGCUAGCUCUUUAACACAGCGUUACUGUUGUUCUUCCAGUCCGAGUGCUU